CCCUGGGUGGCCUAAAUGGUUAAGUGCUUGGUUAAUAACCAAAAGGUUGGUGGUUCAAGUCUACCCAGAGGAA
Molecule: transfer RNA, 73 nt
Filed under: Loxodonta africana (African savanna elephant)
Lineage: Eukaryota; Metazoa; Chordata; Mammalia; Proboscidea; Elephantidae
Rfam family: tRNA
About the family: Transfer RNA (tRNA) molecules are approximately 80 nucleotides in length. Their secondary structure includes four short double-helical elements and three loops (D, anti-codon, and T loops). Further hydrogen bonds mediate the characteristic L-shaped molecular structure. tRNAs have two regions of fundamental functional importance: the anti-codon, which is responsible for specific mRNA codon recognition, and the 3' end, to which the tRNAs corresponding amino acid is attached (by aminoacyl-tRNA synthetases). tRNAs cope with the degeneracy of the genetic code in two manners: having more than one tRNA (with a specific anti-codon) for a particular amino acid; and 'wobble' base-pairing, i.e. permitting non-standard base-pairing at the 3rd anti-codon position.
Source: Rfam by way of RNAcentral